This is a long non-coding RNA of Grus americana (Whooping crane), 583 nucleotides long. RefSeq lists it as uncharacterized. The record is from RefSeq and is a predicted model, not a curated record. The transcript has 2 exons. NCBI's taxonomy places the organism in Eukaryota, Metazoa, Chordata, Aves, Gruiformes, Gruidae.
AGCCCAGCAUAAGGAAGGCUCCCCACUGGCCACACCAACAACCAUGUGGAAGUGUCAUUCCCCUUCUUGAGUCCACACCGUGUCCUGAAUGAGGGAGGAUGAGCAAUAAGCCUAUACUCUGCUGGAUGUCCCUGAAAGCCUCUGGUCAAGAAUGGCAAGUGUAAGAUACCCCUCCUGCCAGCUUCAGCCCAGAGAGAGCGCUGUCAUGCUCCAGGGAACUGGUGAGAAGAUGCAUCCACUGGACACCCUCUCCAUCACUUCUGCUCGCAAGCAAAGCUUUGCAGGUUAUCUCCUGGAUUUCAUUGGAGGGAAGAAAGAAAGUAAUCACAGCUUUCCUGAUUUAGUCCCCCCUCGGUGGGCUUUCCGCUGCUUAGGGCCACCUGCCGGUCUCCCCACUAGCCCAGCCCACUGUCAAUUCAACCUUCUCUCACUUCAUUUCCUCAGCUGUUAAAUGAUGCUGAAGUCACGGUCAGGACUUUAGCCACAAUGAAACAGGGGAGUGCUACACUGAAAUGAGAACCUCCAUGGAAACAUCUCCCGAAAUAAUGAAAAGUGUGAAAUAAAACUGGCUUAGGUGUUUGAA